AUUGAACGCUGGCGGCAGGCCUAACACAUGCAAGUCGAGCGGAUGAAGGGAGCUUGCUCCUGGAUUCAGCGGCGGACGGGUGAGUAAUGCCUAGGAAUCUGCCUGGUAGUGGGGGAUAACGUCCGGAAACGGGCGCUAAUACCGCAUACGUCCUGAGGGAGAAAGUGGGGGAUCUUCGGACCUCACGCUAUCAGAUGAGCCUAGGUCGGAUUAGCUAGUUGGUGGGGUAAAGGCCUGCCAAGGCGACGAUCCGUAACUGGUCUGAGAGGAUGAUCAGUCACACUGGAACUGAGACACGGUCCAGACUCCUACGGGAGGCAGCAGUGGGGAAUAUUGGACAAUGGGCGAAAGCCUGAUCCAGCCAUGCCGCGUGUGUGAAGAAGGUCUUCGGAUUGUAAAGCACUCUAAGUUGGGAGGAAGGGCAGUAAGUUAAUACCUUGCUGUUUUGACGUUACCAACAGAAUAAGCACCGGCUAACUUCGUG
This 484-nucleotide ribosomal RNA is filed under the name uncultured bacterium. Its description in RNAcentral is "partial 16S ribosomal RNA". It matches the Rfam family "Bacterial small subunit ribosomal RNA", at positions 30 to 507 of the family's 1533-position model. The record is from RNAcentral.